Molecule: long non-coding RNA, 807 nt
Organism: Xenopus tropicalis (tropical clawed frog)
Lineage: Eukaryota; Metazoa; Chordata; Amphibia; Anura; Pipidae
Exons: 5
Source: RefSeq, a predicted model, not a curated record
UCUCUGUGUGAGGAACUUCUGAAGGGGUUGGGAAAGCAAUAUUCCUUUUGACCUCCAGCAUUUGUCCACCCACAACAAAUAAGAACCUUUGUGGAUUCCAAGUGUCUGAUCCCAGAUGUCAGCUCUUCGCUCACACUGGUUCUACUCCCUCUGGGCUGCUAACAGGACUAGACCUGCUGAUUAUUCCCCGGAUUUUACUUGUACACCGGGACCACUGGGAACCAAAGCAAUGAAACAGAAAGCAUCUGUAGAACAUAACGCUGUUCUUGAAAAUGACUUAAGACAAAGCAAAUGAAUGACAUGAUAUUUAGUUACCAUAGUCACCAAACAAGUGAAUAAGCCAUUUUAAAAUGUAUGGCCAGUACAAGUUUCAUCAGCGAAAAAAAUGGCCGCAUAAAACAUCCCAUGAAUGCAUUUGUGAUAUGGGCAAGAAUUCACCGGCAAAGGAUAGCUCGGUCAAAUCCAGCUCUCUGCAAAAGAUAUCAGCAGAGGAGCAGAAAAAGCCAUAUUUUGAUGAGGCCAAUAAAAUAAAAAGACAACACCAGGCAUUGUUUCCAGAACUAGAUAUGGCCCCAGACACUCCAUAGGCCCCAGACGCCUCCUGAGGAUCCCUGAGGGACCAUCAAAUCGGACUGAAGAUGUGGGGACCCAAUCAACACCUGAGCGGCCAGACCCUACACUUAGUCAGUCAAUUCAGGAGGACAUUGCCUCCAUAAAGUCAUGGCAAAAAUGCAGCAGGACAUUGCUGAGCUCAAGGCCAGCAAGGCCUAACUUUUUUUAAUAGUAUGUAUAUAUAUGAAAGAUUCU